Molecule: ribosomal RNA, 433 nt
Filed under: uncultured bacterium
Lineage: Bacteria
Description: partial 16S ribosomal RNA
Rfam family: Bacterial small subunit ribosomal RNA
Source: RNAcentral
AACGAACGCUGGCGGCAUGCCUAACACAUGCAAGUCGAACGGGACCUUCGGGUCUAGUGGCGCACGGGUGCGUAACGCGUGGGAACCUGCCUUUAGGUUCGGAAUAACUCAGAGAAAUUUGAGCUAAUACCGGAUGAUGUCUUCGGACCAAAGAUUUAUCGCCUUUAGAUGGGCCCGCGUUGGAUUAGCUAGUUGGUGGGGUAAAGGCCUACCAAGGCGACGAUCCAUAGCUGGUCUGAGAGGAUGAUCAGCCACACUGGGACUGAGACACGGCCCAGACUCCUACGGGAGGCAGCAGUGGGGAAUAUUGGACAAUGGGCGAGAGCCUGAUCCAGCAAUGCCGCGUGAGUGAUGAAGGCCUUAGGGUUGUAAAGCUCUUUUACCCGAGAUGAUAAUGACAGUAGCGGGAGAAUAAGCUCCGGCUAACUCCGUG